Non-coding RNA from Macaca mulatta (Rhesus monkey), 683 nucleotides. The record is from RefSeq and is a predicted model, not a curated record. Lineage: Eukaryota; Metazoa; Chordata; Mammalia; Primates; Cercopithecidae.
UUCAGGUGUUUUCAUUUGGUGAUCAGGACUGAACACACAGGACUCACCAUGGAGCCAUGGCUGAGCUGGGUUUUUCUUGUUGCUAUUUUAAAAGGUGUCCAGUGUGAGGUGAAGCUGGUAGAGUCUGGGGGAGGCUUGGUCCAGCCUGGCGGGUCCCUGAGACUCUCCUGUGCAGCCUCUGGAUUCACCUUCAGUAACUACUGGAUGUUCUGGGUCCGCCAGGCUCCAGGGAAGGGGCUGGAGUGGGUCUCAAGUAUUAGUGGUAGCAGUAGUAGCACAUACUACCCAGACUCUGUCAAGGGCCGAUUCACCAUCUCCAGAGACAACGCCAAGAACACGCUGUAUCUGCAAAUGAACAGCCUGAGAGCUGAGGACACGGCUGUCCAUUACUGUGCGAGAGACACAGUGAGGGGAAGUCAGUGUGAGCCCAGACACAAACCUCCCUGCAGAAAUGCUCAGGGAAAAUCAGCUGCAGGGGGCACUCAGGACCCACUGAUCAGAGUCAAUCCCAGAGGCAAGUGCAGAUGGAGGCUGAUUUCCUGUCAGGAUCAUGUUGUUCAGAACCUGUGCAUGCCGACAACUAUGAUUCCUGGUGCACUCCUGGCCUGGUGAAGCCCUCACAGACCCUCUCCCUCACCUAUGCCAUGCCUGCAUUCUCCAUCACAACCAGUGCUUCCUGCUAG